Molecule: long non-coding RNA, 2034 nt
Filed under: Homo sapiens (human)
Lineage: Eukaryota; Metazoa; Chordata; Mammalia; Primates; Hominidae
Description: non-protein coding lnc-CEACAM20-1:1
Source: RNAcentral
CGGUCUCCAGGGUUCCUGGACUUCCCGCUCUUUGUGCUGGGCAGGGAAGGAAAGUGAGCCCUGGGGGUAGAGGGCAGAGGUGGGGUCAAAGUUACUUUCCUGCCACCACCCCUGUCUGUCCUGGGAGCUGCAGUUACUGCAGUGUGUGUGUGAGUUUGUAGCAGGGUGGGAGAGGAGAGAAGGGAGGUGGAGGGGCUGCACCUGGAGUGAGGACUGUAUCUGUGUGUGCAAGCCGGGGCGACAGACGGCCUGGCACACUGAAGUCAGGUGCCGGGACCCAUGGGGCCUGCUGACUCAUGGGGACACCACUGGAUGGGAAUCCUGCUUUCAGCCUCGCUUUGUACCGUAUGGAGUCCUCCAGCUGCAGCCCAGCUCACCCUCAAUGCCAACCCACUUGAUGCCACCCAAAGUGAGGAUGUUGUUCUGCCUGUGUUUGGGACCCCCAGGACACCCCAGAUUCAUGGCAGAUCCAGAGAGCUGGCCAAACCCUCCAUUGCAGUCAGCCCAGGCACUGCCAUAGAGCAGAAGGACAUGGUGACCUUCUACUGCACCACUAAGGACGUCAACAUUACCAUCCACUGGGUUUCCAACAACCUCUCCAUUGUGUUCCAUGAGCGCAUGCAGCUGUCCAAGGAUGGCAAGAUCCUCACCAUUCUCAUUGUCCAGCGGGAGGACUCAGGGACUUACCAAUGUGAAGCUCGAGAUGCCCUUCUGAGCCAGAGGAGCGACCCCAUCUUCCUGGAUGUGAAGUAUGGUCCUGAUCCUGUUGAAAUCAAAUUGGAGUCUGGUGUUGCCAGUGGGGAGGUGGUUGAGGUGAUGGAGGGCUCCAGCAUGACCUUCUUAGCGGAAACAAAGUCUCACCCACCCUGUGCCUAUACUUGGUUUCUCCUUGACUCCAUUCUGUCUCACACCACGAGAACAUUCACCAUCCAUGCUGUGUCCAGAGAACAUGAGGGCCUGUACAGGUGCUUGGUGUCCAACAGUGCCACCCACCUGUCCAGCCUGGGUACUCUGAAGGUCCGAGUACUUGAAACACUGACCAUGCCUCAAGUCGUGCCUUCAAGCCUGAACCUUGUGGAGAAUGCUAGGUCUGUGGACCUGACCUGCCAAACCGUCAAUCAGAGUGUGAAUGUCCAGUGGUUCCUAAGUGGCCAGCCCCUCCUGCCCAGUGAGCACCUGCAGCUGUCAGCUGACAACAGGACCCUAAUCAUCCAUGGCCUCCAGCGGAAUGACACCGGGCCCUAUGCCUGUGAGGUCUGGAACUGGGGCAGCCGGGCCCGGAGUGAGCCCCUUGAGCUGACCAUCAACUAUGGUCCUGACCAAGUGCACAUCACCAGGGAGUCGGCAUCUGAGAUGAUCAGCACCAUAGAGGCAGAGCUCAACUCCAGCCUGACCCUGCAGUGUUGGGCCGAGUCCAAGCCAGGUGCUGAGUAUCGCUGGACUCUUGAACACUCCACCGGGGAGCACCUGGGUGAGCAGCUGAUUAUCAGGGCUCUGACCUGGGAACACGACGGGAUCUACAACUGCACAGCCUCCAACUCUCUCACUGGCCUGGCCCGCUCCACUUCAGUCCUGGUCAAGGUGGUAGGUCCCCAGUCCUCCUCCCUGUCCUCAGGGGCCAUCGCUGGUAUUGUCAUCGGGAUCCUGGCUGUCAUUGCUGUGGCCUCAGAACUGGGCUAUUUUCUCUGCAUCAGAAAUGCCAGACGGCCCUCAAGGAAAACAACAGAGGACCCCAGUCAUGAGACCUCACAACCCAUCCCGAAGGAGGAGCACCCCACAGAGCCCAGUUCCGAAAGCCUGAGUCCUGAGUAUCGCAAUAUAUCCCAGCUUCAGGGACGGAUCAGAGUCGAACUGAUGCAACCACCAGACCUUCCAGAGGAGACCUAUGAGACGAAGCUGCCUUCAGCAAGCCGUAGAGGCAAUUCUUUCAGCCCCUGGAAGCCACCACCCAAACCUCUGAUGCCCCCACUCAGAUUGGUCUCCACUGUGCCAAAAAACAUGGAGUCAAUCUAUGAGGUAUUUAUGCCACACUGA